Molecule: ribosomal RNA, 492 nt
Filed under: Triticum aestivum (bread wheat)
Lineage: Eukaryota; Viridiplantae; Streptophyta; Magnoliopsida; Poales; Poaceae
Description: partial small subunit ribosomal RNA
Source: RNAcentral
AUGAUCUGCAAUGCACAGAAAGAGAAACUAAUCACUGGAUUAGCACCGGACCUGAUUGAGGAUGGGGUGGCUAUUCUUCAAUACGCUGAUGACACGGUCAUCUGCUUUGAGCAUGAUAAAGAAGUUGCGGUGAACCUGAAAUUGUUACUUUACAUGUUUGAGCUCAUGUCGGGGCUUAAAAUUAACUUCCUGAAAAGCGAAAUUCUGUGUAUUGGAGGGGAUGAUGACACUCUGGCAUUUCAUGCCGAUCUCUUCAAUUGCCAGAUAGGACAUUUUCCUAUGAAAUACCUGGGCGUUCCUGUUAGCUACUCCACUCUUCGGGGUUUACAUUGGGACUUUGCUGACGAAAGAUUUCUGAAAUGUUGUGAAGCCUGGAUUGGCAAUGCGGCAUCCUCUGGAGGGAGGCUUAUACUACUUAAUGCCUCCCUUACCACAUCAUAUAUUUCUACAUGUCCAUGUUCUUGCUACCUAAGAUGGUCAUUACAAAGUUAG